AGUGAACGCUGGCGGUAGGCCUAACACAUGCAAGUCGAACGGCAGCACAGUAAGAGCUUGCUCUUACGGGUGGCGAGUGGCGGACGGGUGAGGAAUACAUCGGAAUCUACUUUUUCGUGGGGGAUAACGUAGGGAAACUUACGCUAAUACCGCAUACGACCUACGGGUGAAAGCAGGGGAUCUUCGGACCUUGCGCGAUUGAAUGAGCCGGUGUCGGAUUAGCUAGUUGGCGGGGUAAAGGCCCACCAAGGCGACGAUCCGUAGCUGGUCUGAGAGGAUGAUCAGCCACACUGGAACUGAGACACGGUCCAGACUCCUACGGGAGGCAGCAGUGGGGAAUAUUGGACAAUGGGCGCAAGCCUGAUCCAGCCAUACCGCGUGGGUGAAGAAGGCCUUCGGGUUGGAAAGCCCUUUUGUUGGGAAAGAAAAGCAGCAGGUUAAUACCCCGCUGUUCUGACGGUACCCAAAGAAUAAGCACCGGCUAACUUCGUG
RNAcentral lists this ribosomal RNA (492 nucleotides) under uncultured bacterium. RNAcentral's name for it is "partial 16S ribosomal RNA". It matches the Rfam family "Bacterial small subunit ribosomal RNA", at positions 29 to 507 of the family's 1533-position model. The record is from RNAcentral.